Molecule: non-coding RNA, 104 nt
Organism: Xylaria bambusicola
Lineage: Eukaryota; Fungi; Ascomycota; Sordariomycetes; Xylariales; Xylariaceae
Source: the annotation of a RefSeq genome assembly
GGGAGUUUGGCCGAGUGGUUAAGGCGCUGUGUUUAGGCUUAGACUCGAUCUAAACUUGAAUCCCGCAGUGGGAAACCGCGCAGGUUCGAAUCCUGCAGCUCUCA